This is a long non-coding RNA of Notolabrus celidotus (New Zealand spotty), 1516 nucleotides long. RefSeq lists it as uncharacterized. The record is from RefSeq and is a predicted model, not a curated record. Lineage: Eukaryota; Metazoa; Chordata; Actinopteri; Labriformes; Labridae. The transcript is spliced from 4 exons.
GAUUGACGGACCUGCCGGCUCCUGCACGGCCAUCAGAGAGGAAGCAUCAGGAAGCAACGCAGACUACAGGAAGCCAGGAUCUCUCCUCUCCUGCAGCCCCUGGGCAUCCUCAGCAUCCGAUGUCAUCCUGCCAGAGACAAAUCUUUCUAUAAAUAGGGAUCAAGCCUCUGUGGACAUUGAUGGAUGGACCAUGAACUCCUGACCCCAUGGAUUGUGAGAAGAGGGUCUCUCACAGCACAGUGUGGAGUGUGUCAAAGUCCCCUAUCCUGGGUUACUUCCACCACAACGGAGACGGCUAAACACACCCUGUCCACACAUACUCAUACACACCCUGAGGGUGAACCCAAUAGGUCCCUCUGCGCGUGAGUCGUGGCAUCUCCUCUUUCCAUUCCCCCACCUCGGCGUGUUUCUUCAUCCUGCCUUUGGGGCUGAAAACACGGACACGGCUCCCUUUCUCUUCUUUAUCCAGUCCAGAUAACCUUAUGUGUCGGACAGAGCGAAGGCAAACCAACGAAUAAUAAGCAUGUUCACUGUCACUGAGAAGACGAAGGGCAGCUCGCCCACUGCCAGCAUCAUCUCAAGGUUUUUCUCAAAGCCUAAGUGAUGAUGAGGUGUUGGGGCAGUCUGUUGGGGCUGGAAACAAGGUAAACCCAGGGUAACAGAGAAUUUGAAUGUAUCAUAGCUUCAAGGGUUGAAUUCUAGUUGAGCGCUAAAAUGCUGCAAGGCAAGAAAGGGCCAGUGGAUGUAGAAAAUGCAGAACACAGGAGAAGACAAUAUGUUUUGUGCCUACUUUAAUCAAUUUGUUGUGUACAAUGCAACGUAUUCGAUGUAGGUAUGGAGCAUAAGAUGUCAUUUGUAGUUGUCAUUGCCAUGAACUGCUUUAUUUACAUGAUGAUGGUUGUUUUUCAAUGAUUUUUUAAAAAUGUGCCCUACUCUUUACUAAUUACAUAUGUGCGCAGCAUUGAAGUCCAUUGAAAAAUUUCCGGCACCAUGUAUUACACUUUAAUGUAUCCUAUCCUAUAAACGUACCAUAUCAACAUAUCAUGUUGUAUAUUGUUAUGCUGUAUUGUGCCGUAUCGUAACAUGUGGUAUAAUAUCGUAUCAUGUCAUAUCAUGAUGUAUUGUAUCAUAUCGUAUCGUGUCCUGUAGUGUCAUAUGGUUUCGUGCCGUGACGUUUUGUAACGUAUCAACGUAUCAUAUCGUAUCUUGUUUUAUUGUAUUGUAUCGUAUCAUAUCGUAUCUUGCUGUGUCGUGCUGUAUCAUAUCUUAAUGUAUUAUAUCCCAUUGUAUCGUGACGUAACGUAUCGUAUCCUGUCGUGGACAGUUUUAGGACGUAACCUAUCGUUUUAAGUCACAUGGUAUCGUAUCAUAUUGUUUCAUGUCAUACCGUAUUGUGUCUUGUUGGGUCGUCGUAUCAUAGAGUAACAUAAUAUAUGGUAUGGUGUCAAAAUAAAUUGUGCUGUAUUGUAUGAUAUCGUACUAUAUGUAUUAUAUCAUAUCAUACUCUAUCAAAUCA